Molecule: ribosomal RNA, 1370 nt
Filed under: uncultured bacterium
Lineage: Bacteria
Description: 16S ribosomal RNA
Rfam family: Bacterial small subunit ribosomal RNA
Source: RNAcentral
GAUGAACGCUAACGGCGUGGAUAAGGCAUGCAAGUCGAACGGUCCGCUUCGGCGGACAGUGGCAGACGGGUUAGUAACACGUAGAUAUCAACCGCCAACACAGGUAUAACCCAUCGAAAGAUGGGCUAAUCCCUGAUAGUCCUCGCUUUGCGGGGUAAAGGAUUUCCGCAAGGAUUUCGGUUGGUGAUGGGUCUGCGGCCUAUCAGCUAGUUGGUGAGGUAAUGGCUCACCAAGGCUAUGACGGGUAGGGGGCAUGAGAGUGUGUUCCCCAACAAUGGAACUGCGACACGGUCCAUACUCCUACGGGAGGCAGCAGUCGAGAAUAUUCGACAAUGGGCGCAAGCCUGAUCGAGCGACGCCGUGUGCAGGAAGACGCUCUUCGGAGUGUAAACUGCUUUUCUGGAGGAAGAACCUCGCUUUUAGCGGGGUGACGGUACUCCAGGAAUAAGGGGAUGCUAAUCACGUGCCAGCAGCCGCGGUAAUACGUGAUCCCCAAGCGUUGUCCGGAUUUAUUGGGCGUAAAGAGUCCGUAGGCGGUUUGGUAAGUCUUUGGUUAAAUACCCGUGGCUCAACUAUGGGAAUGCCAAAAGAAACUACUCAAACUAGAGGGCGUUAGAGGCUGGUGGAACGGUCGGUGUAGGGGUGAAAUCCGUUGAUAUCGACCGGAAUACCAAAAGCGAAGGCAGCCAGCUGGGGCGACCCUGACGCUGAGGGACGAAAGCUAGGGGAGAGAAAAGGAUUAGAUACCCUUGUAUUCCUAGCUGUAAGCGAUGGACACUGGCUAUUUGAAGUGUCGACCCUUCAAGUGGCGAAGCUAACGCGUUAAGUGUCCCGCCUGGGAAGUACGGCGGCAACGCUAAAACUCAAAGGAAUAGACGGGGUUUCACACAAGCGGUGGACCAUGUGGCUCAAUUCGACAAUAAGCGAGGAACCUUACCAGGGCUUGACAGGCUAGUGAAAGGUUGCCGAAAGGCAGCUCUACCCACAAGGACACUAGCCCAGGUGCUGCACGGUUGUCGUCAGCAUGUGCCUUGAGGUGCACCCUUAAAUGGGGUAACAUGCGCAACCCUUAUCCUAUGUUUUACAUGUCAUAGGAAACUGCCCGAGAUAAUUGGGAGGAAGGUGAGGACAACGCCAAAUCAGCGUGGCCCUUUGACGCCCUGGGCUGCACACGUGGUACAAUGGGACCGACAAUGGGCGAAGCCGCAAGGCAGAGGUAAUCCCACCAAACGGUCUCUUAGUUCGGAUUGGGGUCUGCAACCCGACCCCAUGAAGCCGGAAUCGCUAGUAAUCGCCAAUCAGCCACGUGGCGAUGAAUAUGUUCCUGAAACUUGUACUCACCGCCCGUCACAUUAAGGAAGCCGGCAGUA